AACUACCUGCAGUCGACGGCAGCGCGGGCUUCCGCCUGGCGGCGAGUGGCGAACGGGUGAGUAAUACAUCUGAACGUGCCCUGUUGUGGGGGAUAACUAGUCGAAAGAUUAGCUAAUACCGCAUACGACCUGAGGGUGAAAGCGGGGGACCGCAAGGCCUCGCGCAGCAGGAGCGGCCGAUGUCUGAUUAGCUAGUUGGUGGGGUAACGGCCUACCAAGGCGACGAUCAGUAGCUGGUCUGAGAGGACGAUCAGCCACACUGGGACUGAGACACGGCCCAGACUCCUACGGGAGGCAGCAGUGGGGAAUUUUGGACAAUGGGGGCAACCCUGAUCCAGCAAUGCCGCGUGUGUGAAGAAGGCCUUCGGGUUGUAAAGCACUUUUGUCCGGAAAGAAAUCGCGCUGGCUAAUAUCCGGCGUGGAUGACGGUACCGGAAGAAUAAGCACCGGCUAACUACGUGCCAGCAGCCGCGGUAAUACGUAGGGUGCGAGCGUUAAUCGGAAUUACUGGGCGUAAAGCGUGCGCAGGCGGUUUUGUAAGACAGGCGUGAAAUCCCCGAGCUCAACUUGGGAAUUGCGCUUGUGACUGCAAGGCUAGAGUGUGUCAGAGGGGGGUAGAAUUCCACGUGUAGCAGUGAAAUGCGUAGAGAUGUGGAGGAAUACCGAUGGCAAAAGCAGCCCCCUGGGACGCCACUGACGCUCAUGCACGAGAGCGUGAGGAGCAAACAGGAUUAGAUACCCUGGUAGUCCACGCCCUAAACGAUGUCAACUAGUUGUUGGGGAUUCAUUUCUUCAGUAACGUAGCUAACGCGUGAAGUUGACCGCCUGGGGAGUACGGUCGCCAGAUUAAACUCAAAGGAAUUGACGGGGUACCCGCACAAGCGGUGGAUGAUGUGGAUUAAUUCGAUGCAACGCGAAAAACCUUACCUACCCUUUGACAUGUCACUAGCGAUGCAGAGACGCAUCACGUGCCCGAAGGGAGAGUGCCUCAGGUGCUGCAUGACUGUCGUCAGCUCGUGUCGUGAGAUGUCGGGUUAGUCCCGCAACGAG
This 1050-nucleotide ribosomal RNA is filed under the name Cupriavidus sp. NCCP-1143. Its description in RNAcentral is "bacterial SSU rRNA". It matches the Rfam family "Bacterial small subunit ribosomal RNA", at positions 49 to 1096 of the family's 1533-position model. Lineage: Bacteria; Pseudomonadati; Pseudomonadota; Betaproteobacteria; Burkholderiales; Burkholderiaceae. The record is from RNAcentral.